Hordeum vulgare subsp. vulgare (domesticated barley) is the source of this 1058-nucleotide long non-coding RNA. RefSeq lists it as uncharacterized. NCBI's taxonomy places the organism in Eukaryota, Viridiplantae, Streptophyta, Magnoliopsida, Poales, Poaceae. The transcript is spliced from 2 exons. The record is from RefSeq and is a predicted model, not a curated record.
UUUAUCCCGACACAACCCGCACUCCUUGCUGUUCCCACUUGUCUUCUCUCGUGCGAGCUUCCCCAUUCCCCUCUCCGCCAACUCCGUCGACGGCAACUCCCGGCCAAAUCCGGCCAGUCCAUGCCUUGCUAACCUUUACCGGCACCCUCUCCUUUCCCUAUACCGAUUCCACGGCGUCGAUUCGCAGCCCCCACCACAAACCCUGGCGACCAGAAGCCAGAGCAGGAGGAGAAAAUUUUAAUCUUUGCACCCAUGGAUGGCGGCGGCGCGGCAGCGAGUGGUGGUGAUGCACGAAGCCGUUGUGGGAUCCAGCGGCCACGGCCCACAAGGACGUCGGCGAGCAGGCCGCGGGUCCACGGGCGCGAGACGCAGAAGUACGUCCUCGGGCCUGCAGGACCGUCGACAAGCCCGUGCGGGAGCGCCGCUACUUCUGGCGUCGUCUUCUUCCUUGCUUGCUCUGCUCUCAUCUCUGCUCCUUGCCAUGAGGUCUGAAGCGCUUCUCCGGCUCAACAAACUAGAAGAGGUGAUUCAUAUGUACGGGUUUGCUGAAAUUGGACAGUGCAUCUCUAUCUUCAAUGUCCACCAAACUGUCAGGCAUGGUAGCUGAUUCAUAUGUACAUGUUGUCCAAGCCCUGCACUGCGUCCACCUCAACGAAUGUCGACGACCAAGAGCUGCUGGCAUUGGUCCUGUCUUAAGGAACUGCUCACUCGAGUCGAUGUUGACGCUGCAUCAGGGGAAAUAUUCAGAGAUCAGCAGAGGUCAAUGAACGGCUUCAUGGAGUGGACAGAGAUGGUGUGUCGGUCAGUCACUCACUAGGUGCAGUCUAAGGCUGAAAUUGAUUUCUCUUUUGCAAGCGGCGUUGGUAGCCCUUCCGAGCCAAGAGCCUUAGACAUCAAGUCUGGUGUACAUUUUUGUUUAACUAAACGUUGCUGGACCUGUGUAACUCGAUGUAAACUGGUAGAUGUAAGAUGUGUGAAACUGGUAGAGCAAGUGUAAAUGUCUGUAAACAAUCAGUAUUGUACCCUGUCUAGAUAUAAAGUGUACUGCUUAUUGCAAA